AUGAGAAGCAAGCCUGCGCCUGCAUGGGACUCUGGGAACAGCACCGUUUGGGAGGAAUACACUGACAUCACCUUUGUGCUGGCAAACAGCUUGAUUCUGCUGGUCACCUCUGUCGUGGGGAUUGCAGCAAAUAUUUUUGUCAUACUGGCAGUUUAUCACCAAAAAUCCCUGCAAACUUCCAACAAUGCGCUGGUGGUAAAUCUUGCAGUUAUAGAUAUUCUGAGGUGUGUCAUUGACUGCCCCAUUCUCUUAACCAUCGUCGUGACUGUGUAUCAAAGGGGACAUGUGGACGAUGUGAUCUGUGACACACAAGUGGCAUCUUUCUCCUUCAGCUGCUGCAUCCAACUGUUGACACUGGCUUGCAUAAGUGCGGAGAGAUACCAGGCCAUUGCACAACCCUUCAAAACCAUUCAGAGGCGAAGACGGAUUAUGGUGCUGAUUCCUGUCACAUGGACCAUGGCUAUUGUGGUGGCUGGGUUUUGUCUGGUAUUUGUAAAGGACUCACCCGUGCAUGUGAGAUGUAAAGGUUUACAGAGAGAAACAUCAUCCUCAUAUGACACAUUUGGACUUUACAUGUUGUUCCCACUUUGGGCAGCUUGCUUUGGUGUCAUCAUUGGAUUCUAUACUCGCAUAUUUACCCUUGUGAGAUCGCACAAUCGCAAAAUAUUUGACAAAGGUAGUUUCCCUCUUUCAAAAAAAGACAAAACAGAAGAUAAUCAGAAGAAAGAAGGAACCACAGCUGUGGAAAAUAGACGCGAAAAAUCAGAGCAAAACCAAACCUUGAGCAAAAGUGUUGCUCAGGUGGAAGUAGUGACACAAGCUGAACAAAAUUCAUUGAAGAAAGAUUCCACAGCUGCUUUACUGACCUCAACAAAAGCUCUGCAAUGUGUCUCCAUCGGUUCGGAGAAUAAAACAGAAUUAAAAAAUACCCUGGAGUUAACCGACUUGGAGACAGAACAACCUCGCCCACCUGCAAUGCAGGCUGCAGCACAGACUGAGGAGAGGCCUUUAAAAACAGAGCACUCCGAUCCCUGUGCCAAGAAAGUUGAAGCAAACCCAUCAAAUGGAGAUGCUGUUGCUAGUGUUAAGAGCUCAACCACAAAGCCGCAGAAGGUGUCAAGCAAUUUCGACACAGAAAAGCAGUCCAAAGAUAGACUGGAAAUUGACAAAGCACCCUCUGAAAUGAAAGAAACCAGCCCCCAUGUUGCAUCACCUGCACAGUUAGAAACCCCUGGAUCCAAUUCUGUAUUAGUGAGUGAACUAAAACAACCUAAGAACAACGACGGGGGAGAAACGCUUGCUGUUGCUACAGUAGAUCAAGUGUCUUCAUUAACUCCAGUCUCGAAUAAAGUCCCUGAGACAGAAGCUGCAAAAGAGAAUGUGGAGGUGGAAGGUGCUGUUUGCAUGAUGCCUUCAAAAGCAAGUAAAGAGAGAGCGACAAAAAAGAAGGAAAGUAAAAUGGCUAAGCGGGCUGGCUACAUAAUUAUAACUUUCCUCUUAUUCUGGCUGCCGUUGAUCAUAACCAUCCUGAUGAAUUUUGUUGUACACAAAAACAAGAAUACACAGGUAAGUAGUUGUAGAGGUAGGGGUGCAAUUUUUACUGGCAUUUUGUAUGUGAAAAAUGUUUAA
Long non-coding RNA from Dicentrarchus labrax (European seabass), 1629 nucleotides. The record is from Ensembl. NCBI's taxonomy places the organism in Eukaryota, Metazoa, Chordata, Actinopteri, Moronidae.